UACGGAGGGUGCAAGCGUUAUCCGGCAUCACUGGGUUUAAAGGGUGCGUAGGCGGCUUGAUAAGUCAGGGGUGAAAGCCCGCAGCUUAACUGCGGAACUGCCUUUGAUACUGUUGAGCUUGAAAGAGGUUGAGGUCAGCGGAACGUGACAUGUAGCGGUGGAAUGCAUAGAUAUGUCACAGAACACCGAUUGCGAAGGCAGCUGGCUGGACCUACUUUGACGCUGGGGCACGAAAGCGUGGGGAGCGAAUAGG
Molecule: ribosomal RNA, 253 nt
Filed under: uncultured bacterium
Lineage: Bacteria
Description: partial 16S ribosomal RNA
Rfam family: Bacterial small subunit ribosomal RNA
Source: RNAcentral